Molecule: ribosomal RNA, 451 nt
Filed under: uncultured organism
Description: partial 16S ribosomal RNA
Rfam family: Bacterial small subunit ribosomal RNA
Source: RNAcentral
UACACUCCUGCGGGAGGCAGCAGUGGGGAAUAUUGGACAAUGGGCGCAAGCCUGAUCCAGCCAUGCCGCGUGAGUGAUGAAGGCCCUAGGGUUGUAAAGCUCUUUCACCGGUGAAGAUAAUGACGGUAACCGGAGAAGAAGCCCCGGCUAACUUCGUGCCAGCAGCCGCGGUAAUACGAAGGGGGCUAGCGUUGUUCGGAUUUACUGGGCGUAAAGCGCACGUAGGCGGACUAUUAAGUCAGGGGUGAAAUCCCGGGGCUCAACCCCGGAACUGCCUUUGAUACUGGUAGUCUUGAGUUCGAGAGAGGGGAGUGGAAUUCCGAGUGUAGAGGUGAAAUUCGUAGAUAUUCGGAGGAACACCAGUGGCGAAGGCGGCUCACUGGCUCGAUACUGACGCUGAGGUGCGAAAGCGUGGGGAGCAAACAGGAUUAGAAACCCCGGUAGUCCCAUG